Molecule: small nucleolar RNA, 72 nt
Filed under: Salmo trutta (river trout)
Lineage: Eukaryota; Metazoa; Chordata; Actinopteri; Salmoniformes; Salmonidae
Description: Small nucleolar RNA SNORD50 (ENSSTUG00000019169.1)
Rfam family: Small nucleolar RNA SNORD50
About the family: U50 belongs to the C/D class of snoRNA which contain the C (UGAUGA) and D (CUGA) box motifs. Most of the members of the box C/D family function in directing site-specific 2'-O-methylation of substrate RNAs.
Source: Rfam by way of RNAcentral
AUUAAAUUAUUAAUCCAUCCCGGACCUGAUUUCGUUUGAAUGAAACUCGUAUACGGAUCUGACUUCUGAUGU